GCAAGUCGAGGGGCAGCAUUAAAUUUAUUUAUAAUAAAUUUUGAUGGCGACCGGCGUACGGGUGCGUAACACGUACGUAACCUACCUUUUGCUAGAAAAUAGCCUGAGGAAACUUAGAUUAAUGUUCUAUAGUAUAACAGAAUCGCAUGAUUCUGUUAUUAAAGUAGCAAUACGGCAAAAGAUGGGCGUGCGUCCGAUUAGUUAGUUGGUAAGGUAAAGGCUUACCAAGACAGUGAUCGGUAGGGGGCCUGAGAGGGUGAUCCCCCACACUGGUACUGAGACACGGACCAGACUCCUACGGGAGGCAGCAGGGGAGGAAUAUUGGUCAAUGGAGGAAACUCUGAACCAGCCACGCCGCGUGCAGGAAGAAUGCCUUACGGGUUGUAAACUGCUUUUGUUUAGGAAUAAAAAUUCUUACGUGAUAAGGAUUGUGAAUGUACUAUACGAAUAAGUGUCGGCAAACUCCGUGCCAGCAGCCGCGGUAAUACGGAGGACACGAGCGUUAUCCGGAUUU
This 514-nucleotide ribosomal RNA is filed under the name uncultured bacterium. Its description in RNAcentral is "bacterial SSU rRNA". It matches the Rfam family "Bacterial small subunit ribosomal RNA", at positions 57 to 552 of the family's 1533-position model. The record is from RNAcentral.